This 434-nucleotide long non-coding RNA is filed under the name Homo sapiens (human). Its description in RNAcentral is "HSALNT0373919". Lineage: Eukaryota; Metazoa; Chordata; Mammalia; Primates; Hominidae. The record is from RNAcentral.
UUGGACACUUGAGGAAUAGGCUUUCUGCCAGGGUAAAGGAGUACACUGUGAAAGGCACACUGUAACAUCCACAACCAAAUCCUCUGAAGUCCUGUCAGGGCAGGCCGAGCGUUCAUACACACUGUCAAGAGAGAGACCUCAAGCACAAAUUACAGAGAAAGAAAACAAUCUGGCUUAAAUCUGCUCCAUCUGUCUCUCUUUUUAGGCUCCAGACUAUAAAGCGGAAGGCAAGGUACUUCUAUGGAAGGGUGUGCUCUCACAGAUGGAGCAAUGAUUUUUCUCUUCAAACUUUUUAAACAUGUCUUGGCUUAGUUCUUCUGCUUGAUUUUCCAAAAGAACAAGCUUCUUUGGAUAAGGUGAAGGAUAGUUAAGGGAGGUUUUAGUAAGUGCCAUUCCUAUGAGCCUCUGUACCAACCCAUGGAUGCAUGAUGUGA